AAAUCAUCAUUUAAAAAAAUAAAUAUAUUAACAAGUAAAUCAAACAUCACCUCAUAAUUUAAAAAAAAAAAAUGAUGAAAACAACAACUAUGUGAUAACUAAUAAUGUAAUGCGGCCACGUAGAUGAGAUUGUUUGUAUGUUGUUUAGCCCUAUAUAUAUGAGCAUGGUUCAUGGUAUCAUCCGUCUGUGCUCCUUGUACUUAGUAUAUCAUCGUACUAAGAAAUCUUUGCCUUGUUGGGAUAUAUCAUAUAUGAUUCCCAACAAAUCCAAUAAUCUUUAUUUGCCAUGAACAUGGCGGUGUAAUUGUUGCUGCAGCAGCAGAAAGAGAGAAAGAAGAAGAUGAGAAGAGCAGCAUUCAAGUGUUUACUGCUACGGAUUCUGGGGUUGUUGGAGCCGUGGCCAAAUAUAUAUAACAGCACCACAAAGAUAAGAGAGUAGUGAUGAUCUGACAUUUGACCUUUGACCUGGGGGUUCUGUUCUGCCCUCUGAUCUAGGCAAGUCUGAUGCUUGGCUUUUAUUUAAAUAAUUGAAUUGAUUUCCAUCUCACAUCUCUCUUGGAGAGGAUGAUCUAUCAUGAUGGUCAUUAAUUAAUUUUCUCAUUUUAUUGUCUUUUGAGCAAGUUUAUCAUUCCCAGAACUAUAUAUGUAAGAUAUGUUGUGUUUACCAAAAGAAAUUAAAUGAACUCAAGUCUCUUAUCUUCCUUAUUAAUUCUUGUUCAAUUCAGUUCUUAUUAUAUACAUAGUAAUUGUAUCAAAUUUUAACAUAGAUACAGCGAUG
This 778-nucleotide long non-coding RNA is filed under the name Arachis ipaensis. Its description in RNAcentral is "long non-coding RNA (AIPA_LNC001436)". Lineage: Eukaryota; Viridiplantae; Streptophyta; Magnoliopsida; Fabales; Fabaceae. The record is from RNAcentral.